UACGUAGGGAGCAAGCGUUGUUCGGGUUUACUGGGCGUAAAGGGCGCGUAGGCGGCAAAUUAAGUCAGCUGUGAAAUCUCCGAGCUUAACUCGGAACUGUCAGCUGAUACUGAUCUGCUAGAGUGCGGAAGGGGCAAUCGGAAUUCUUGGUGUAGCGGUGAAAUGCGUAGAUAUCAAGAGGAACACCUGAGGUGAAGACGGGUUGCUGGGCCGACACUGACGCUGAGUGCGCGAAAGCCAGGGGAGCAAACGGG
RNAcentral lists this ribosomal RNA (254 nucleotides) under uncultured bacterium. RNAcentral describes it as "partial 16S ribosomal RNA". It matches the Rfam family "Bacterial small subunit ribosomal RNA", at positions 524 to 776 of the family's 1533-position model. The record is from RNAcentral.